GCCUAGGUAGCUCAGUCGGUAGAGCAGUGGACUGAAAAUCCUCGUGUCGGUGGUUCGAUUCCGCCCCUGGGCACCA
This 76-nucleotide transfer RNA is filed under the name Candidatus Magnetococcus massalia. RNAcentral describes it as "magneto-ovoid bacterium MO-1 tRNA-Phe". It matches the Rfam family "tRNA". From Rfam's summary of the family: Transfer RNA (tRNA) molecules are approximately 80 nucleotides in length. Their secondary structure includes four short double-helical elements and three loops (D, anti-codon, and T loops). Lineage: Bacteria; Pseudomonadati; Pseudomonadota; Magnetococcia; Magnetococcales; Magnetococcaceae. The record is from RNAcentral.